AAUCCUAAUGUGAUUGGGAUUCCUGAUUCUAUAAAUAGGGAUUAGUUUCUAUUAUUAUUAGUAGAGACUUGAUAUGAUAAUUAUUUGAAAUUAAUAUAAUUUGAGAUAUCUUUUCUCUUAAGGAUUUGUUCCUUGUUUACCUUUGUUCUUUCGAGUGUUAUACCAAUUUGGUAUUAGAGCUAUAAUUCGAUCCUUCCACCCUUGAACUAUAAAGUUUUCCUUGCUUCCUAUUGUUUGAGUAGAAAAAGAAAAUGAAAAUACAGAACAAAGAUGAAGAAGCCUUCACAAUGCCAAAAGCCAAAGACCCACCCACAACCCCCUGGCCAGCAUACAGAUUCACUGUAACCACAGAUUACCUCCCCCUCCCCAGGCGACUUGUAGGAGCAAAUCUGGUCGCCGGAAGUCACCCACAACUAAAGAUUCAUCCAGGUGAAGUGAUGAUUCGAAUUGUAACUCACAAGGUUGGCAUCUAUACCUUACUCGACACUCACCGGCCACCAAUCUGCCAAUUCCCAUUGUCAUAGUCAUGGUUUUAAAAAAAGGCCAUUACAUUACGUAACAGCUGUUAUUCAUAGGUUUUUUGUCCUCCCGUUACCGUGACAUCUAUUACUUAAAAGUACAAGAAAAUUUGUUUCUAUAAUGGUUGUUACACCCAUUUCUUAACAGUAAAGGUCGUUAUUUACUGUUAAGUAACGGUAAUGGCAAUUACUUUAAUUAUGCAUCUGCCCAAAUCACAUGCAAAAACUACUAUUUUUUUCUUCUCUUUUCAUUGAUG
RNAcentral lists this unclassified non-coding RNA (775 nucleotides) under Hevea brasiliensis (rubber tree). Lineage: Eukaryota; Viridiplantae; Streptophyta; Magnoliopsida; Malpighiales; Euphorbiaceae. The record is from RNAcentral.